This 331-nucleotide unclassified non-coding RNA is filed under the name Hevea brasiliensis (rubber tree). The record is from RNAcentral. Lineage: Eukaryota; Viridiplantae; Streptophyta; Magnoliopsida; Malpighiales; Euphorbiaceae.
AAAAAAGCAGCACCUAUGGUUGAUUCCUGAAAUUCAACAAACUGCCCUUUGACAAAACGCAACACAAGACUAGACUUUCCGGCACCAACAUCCCCAAGAAGCACCAAUUUUGCAUUGAUGUUCUUGUUUCCGGCGGUGGCCAUCAGCUUGAAUAGUAGUGAAGAUCAGAUCAAGAGAAUAUGAGACGAAUUUCCUCUCGAAAUUCAGAUUACAAGAAAGGCGUUGAAGAGAAGGAAGGAGGGAGUGAAGAAAAAAAAGGGAAGAAGAACUUUGAUCAAAGCCUUCCUCUUAUUUAUUUUUGUGCAAGGGAAACCGAAGACUCACAGCUACA